AGAAAUUCAUUUCAUUUAGAUUUAAUUGCAAAUUACAAGCAUUCCAUUUCUAACAUAACAUUGCAUCAACUAAAUGCAUAACAAAAUCAGUGGACUUUCAUAAUUCAUUCACUAUUAACACCUAACUAACUCACAAAUCGAAAUUAACAAAUAACAUAUUCUCUUUUCAUUUAACAUCUCACAAAUCCCUAAACUAAUAACUAACUAACCAAAUCCUAUAGCUAACUUUUAACAGAU
This 237-nucleotide long non-coding RNA is filed under the name Lathyrus oleraceus (garden pea). RNAcentral describes it as "Pisum sativum (pea) long non-coding RNA (PSAT_LNC031145)". Lineage: Eukaryota; Viridiplantae; Streptophyta; Magnoliopsida; Fabales; Fabaceae. The record is from RNAcentral.